UUCCUAUUUCAUACAACUCUUGAUGGCUCUUUGCCCAUCCAGUUUUGCUUUCCGGUGGCUUCUCUUCUAUCAACAAAAUGCAUGUGCAGUAAAAGUCCGGUACAGCUGCUGAUCUGCAAGGCCUGCCCCAUAGGCCAUUAUCAGACAGCAGCAGACAAGUACUCUGAGAGGUUAGAACCCGCCCACUUUCACUUCACACGCAGCAUUUCCACUGAAGUCCCAGUUCCCUGGGGUUAAAUGCCAAAUGAAAAUGCCCCCUUUCCUCUGAUAUAUGUAUCUAGCUGUCAUGGUUAUGUAGGAGAAGUCUGAAACACAAGUUGUUAUAAAAGCAGAAAAGUCAGAAAACAGCUAUAAAGCUUACAUUUUUUGUGUAGUAUCUUGGAGAACUUGGAAUUUUUUAAGGUGACAGACAAUACUGUGUCCUUGACAGAAAUUUCUGGAGGUGAGUUAGGAGACCAGCACAGCAAAUGAUUAUCUGUGGCUGUUCCUGCUACUGGUGCCUGUGGACUUCAAAGAAAAAAAAAUCAAGGUCUGGAUUCCCAAAAUGGUGCGGAGAGGAUACCCUUCAGAUGGACACAGAGCAAGGUGGAUAUGACAUGGCCUGGGAAGAGCAAGACAGCACUACUGUAACGUAUGUUUUGGGCUCGGGGCUGUGAAAAAAAUGUGAUUCUAGGGAGGCCAUUAUUUACAUUCAUCUCUAAGGUUAUUCUGACAUGUAUUGUGGAUUGCACAUUUCCCUAAGAUAGACAGGUUUGUCAUAUUGGGUGGGUUAGUCAAAUACAUAAAUAAUUGAGCUUGUACAAUUUUAAUUAAAAGUACUAUGAAGCAAUUAGAGUUUGAAACCAUGAAUGCAAAUCUCUAGGUAUAUCUUACAUAUCUCUGAUGCAGGUUAAAAUAAUCACUCAGAGACAGAUUGUGUCAUCAGUCUUCCCACAGGGUAGUUGUUUGUUCUCUAAGUAGUGCCUUCAAAAUAGAGCAAAAUCUGUUCUACAUAGCUAUCAGCAACUGACCAGGUGUCAAGUAAGGACCCUCCAAAAACUGUAGAGAAUGCUUCCUUAUUUUCUCAUGUCUUUUAUCUAUCUCCAGAACAGUAUUUCAGUGGUAGCCAUCCAAGACAUGGCUUUUCUCAUGACUUCAUAGACAAGAUGACUGCAACCAACAACCGUAGGUACAGUGUUAGCCUGGGGAAAUCUGCUCUCAUUCCUAAUGGAAGAGGAACUUUGCCUGAGACAUAAAGAUACUGAAAUAAGAAGCUAAGUCUUAAUGCCUGCAAAAAAUAACAUGCUACUUUUCAUGGGGCAUAACAAUGACAUAUUCAACUGCACUCUUACAGAUUUUUAUUUUUCUGCAAAAGGAGCAGUGCACAUUUCAAAAAUACUGAUAUUUUACAUCAUAAUUUUAGUUUCCCAACAGUGAUAAUGUCUUACAUGAAAUGCAUCUCAGCAAAGCAUAGAGCGGCUUCCUCCACAUGUAGAUUUCUUAUGUUCUGAAACUUAUUCUUCUCUAACUUACAUUGGAGUAACAGAAAUCUACUGAGG
This 1538-nucleotide long non-coding RNA is filed under the name Numida meleagris (helmeted guineafowl). RNAcentral describes it as "lncRNA (ENSNMEG00000004648.1)". The record is from RNAcentral. Lineage: Eukaryota; Metazoa; Chordata; Aves; Galliformes; Numididae.